This 342-nucleotide ribosomal RNA is filed under the name Triticum aestivum (bread wheat). RNAcentral's name for it is "partial small subunit ribosomal RNA". The record is from RNAcentral. Lineage: Eukaryota; Viridiplantae; Streptophyta; Magnoliopsida; Poales; Poaceae.
AGGAUCCAUUCAUCCAAAUGCAAUUGCAUAGAGAGAACCUUUGGAGUUUGGAAGAUGAAAUGGCAAAUACUUUUGAAGAUGCCAAGCUACUCAACUGAAACCCAAAAGAUGAUAGUUGCUGCUACUAUGGCAUUGCACAACUAUGUUCGCUUCCAUGACAAAUCAGAUCUCCACUUUGUUCGAUGUGAUAGGGAUCCGGAUUAUGUGCCAACAAUUCCUGAACGGUAUAGGAAAUUUGCUGUUCCGACAAAUGCUUCAGAUACAUCUACUUCGGAGGGAAAUGGUGUUGACAUGGAUCUGUUUAGGAACCAACUUGCUACUGACAUUGCUCUAGGUUGGUGA